This 105-nucleotide small RNA is filed under the name Marmota monax (woodchuck). Lineage: Eukaryota; Metazoa; Chordata; Mammalia; Rodentia; Sciuridae. The record is from RNAcentral.
GUUGGGUGUGGUGGCACUCACCUGUAAUCUCAGCUGCUCGGGAGGCUGAGGCAGGAGGAUCCCAAGUUGGAGACCAGUCUGGGUCACAGUGACAUCCUGCCUCAA